UGGGUACCUACCCCGAAGUGAGGGAUACCGGCGAGAAAUCGCCGACAAUACCGCAUAGGCUCUUUGUCGCGAGAGAGAGAGCAAAGUUUUCCGCGAGGGAGACGCUUUGGGAUGGGCCUGUGGCCGAUUAGCUAGCUGGUGGGGUAAUGGCUCACCAGGGCGACGAUCGAUAGCUGGUCUGAGAGGACGAUCAGCCACACUGGGAUUGAGAACGGCCCAG
This 220-nucleotide ribosomal RNA is filed under the name uncultured bacterium. Its description in RNAcentral is "partial 16S ribosomal RNA". It matches the Rfam family "Bacterial small subunit ribosomal RNA", at positions 118 to 334 of the family's 1533-position model. The record is from RNAcentral.